AGAAACAUUGCAUUAACAAUAAUACACCUUACAUUAACCUUCCAUUAACAAUAAUCAACCUUUCCUAACACAUCAACCUAUUGUCAACAACAUUGAAAUCACAAUUACAUUACACAGACAUAUAAAAACCACCAUCCCAGUUAACAACUUCAACCAAUUUUCCGGUCUAACAACACUUUUCAGUUUUUCCCCAAGUCUCUCUUCCAUCUUCAUCAUCAUUUCCACCCACUUUGUUCUUUCUUCCACUUCCUUCUACAGUGACCACAUUUCCUUCAUGAAUCACAUCCUCAUUGCACCACUUAAAGAAGUUGCAUCCAGAACCACAAUCCUCACUCCCACCCUGUCCAAGAAGAAAACACAUUUGGUGAACCACAAUAAAACCUCUGCAACGAGAAAUAAAUCACAAUAAAACUUACCUUGAACUUGGGGCAUCCCCAAAAUCUUCUGCCCUUGUUCUUAGAGGUUCUUGCAAUGCGGAAGACUGCAUUCUCACCACAAAAGCAUGUGGGUUUUUAGACCCACCCUGCUCACACUACCACAACUCUGUCCAAACCCCG
This 557-nucleotide long non-coding RNA is filed under the name Vigna radiata. RNAcentral's name for it is "long non-coding RNA (VRAD_LNC014586)". The record is from RNAcentral. Lineage: Eukaryota; Viridiplantae; Streptophyta; Magnoliopsida; Fabales; Fabaceae.